This 80-nucleotide non-coding RNA is filed under the name Isoalcanivorax pacificus W11-5. RNAcentral describes it as "Alcanivorax sp. W11-5 SAH (S-adenosyl-L-homocysteine) riboswitch aptamer". It matches the Rfam family "SAH (S-adenosyl-L-homocysteine) riboswitch aptamer". RNAcentral also lists the same sequence under 1 other name. Lineage: Bacteria; Pseudomonadati; Pseudomonadota; Gammaproteobacteria; Oceanospirillales; Alcanivoracaceae. The record is from Rfam by way of RNAcentral.
GUUCCCGAGGGGCGCUGCAGCGGUCAGACCGCGAGGCUCGGGGGCAGGGCGCAUCAUUGAUGCAACGGCGCCCAUUCGUC